Molecule: ribosomal RNA, 253 nt
Filed under: uncultured bacterium
Lineage: Bacteria
Description: partial 16S ribosomal RNA
Rfam family: Bacterial small subunit ribosomal RNA
Source: RNAcentral
UACGUAGGGGGCAAGCGUUGUCCGGAAUCAUUGGGCGUAAAGAGCGUGUAGGCGGCCCGAUAAGUCCGCUGUGAAAGUCCAGGGCUCAACCCUGGAAUGCCGGUGGAUACUGUCGGGCUCGAAUCCGGAAGAGGUGAGUGGAAUUCCUGGUGUAGCGGUGAAAUGCGCAGAUAUCAGGAGGAACACCGGUGGCGAAGGCGGAUCUCUGGGCCAUUACUGACGCUGAGGAGCGAAAGCGUGGGGAGCGAACAGG